RNAcentral lists this ribosomal RNA (454 nucleotides) under uncultured Sphingobacteriales bacterium. Its description in RNAcentral is "bacterial SSU rRNA". It matches the Rfam family "Bacterial small subunit ribosomal RNA", at positions 927 to 1382 of the family's 1533-position model. The record is from RNAcentral. Lineage: Bacteria; Pseudomonadati; Bacteroidota; Sphingobacteriia; Sphingobacteriales.
AAGCGGAGGAGCAUGUGGUUUAAUUCGAUGAUACGCGAGGAACCGUUACCUGGGCUCGAACGUAAGAUGACUGUAGGUGAAAGCUUACAUCUCUUCGGAGCAUUUUACGAGGUGCUGCAUGGUUGUCGUCAGCUCGUGCCGUGAGGUGUCGGGUUAAGUCCCAUAACGAGCGCAACCCUACCUUUAGUUGCCAUCAGGUAAUGCUGGGGACUCUAAAGGAACUGCCUACGCAAGUAGUGAGGAAGCGGGGAUGACGUCAAAUCAGCACGGCCCUUACGUCCAGGGCUACACACGUGCUACAAUGGCCGAUACAGAGGGCAGCUACCUGGUGACAGGAUGCAAAUCUCCAAAGUCGGUCUCAGUUCGGAUCGGAGUCUGCAACCCGACUCCGUGAAGUUGGAAUCGCUAGUAAUCGCGCAUCAGCCAUGGCGCGGUGAAUACGUUCCCGGGCCUU